CCACAACCCCCCCUCCAGAGACCUGCUGUGGCUCCAUCAGAGAAGCCAUAAAAAACGAUCUUUCCUGCCUUUGCAAUCUCUACAACACUCCUGGUUUGCUUCAAAGCAUUAACGUCAAUGUCAGUCAGGCCAUCGCGCUCACCAAGCGAUGCGGUGUUAACGCUGAUCUCACUGCUUGCAACAAAGCUGAGUCGCCUACCGCCCCGAAUGCUGCCGUUCCACCGCCCCCUGGAGUGCCGGGAAAUGAUGGCAGCAGAAUGGCGUGGACAGGAUUUUCCGGCUUGCUUUUAUUAUGGGCUUCUUCUUUAUUUUAUUAGGCGACCAUGGAACCUGCCUUGCAUUGGACUUUGGAGAUAUGAUUAGUAGUAGCAAUAUAUGUAUGGUGCUGAGAUCAUUCAUGUAUGAGUGAGCUGUAUUUUCCGCAUUUGGAGAUUUUGUUCUACUCUCGCUUAAUAUCCCGUUGAUUUGAACUUA
Molecule: unclassified non-coding RNA, 474 nt
Filed under: Hevea brasiliensis (rubber tree)
Lineage: Eukaryota; Viridiplantae; Streptophyta; Magnoliopsida; Malpighiales; Euphorbiaceae
Source: RNAcentral